ACCAAGGACCAUCACUUAGAAGACGUCCCCAACUUACAAACGAGUUCUGCCCCGGGAGAAUGUUCAUAGGUCGGAUUUUUGUGAGUCCGACAAAGUGAGUCUUGCUCAGCUUUGAGACCCAUGCACGGUGUGUGUCGCGCUGCGCUUCCCGGGUGCCCCCACACCAGCACCUCUUUCUUGUUGCUCGGGGCCGUCCUGGGCUGAGCCCUGUGCUGCUCUGCACGUGGACCGCACAGGAGCAUGCGCAGUGCAACCAGGACGGGCAUGCCCAGUGCAACCAACCAGUACGAGCAUGCGCAGUGCAACCAGGACGGUGCUUGCGGACGGGAGUCCCUGUUAGACGCGUGCGCGGCUGUGGAACGCGAGGCCAUUCGCGUCUGGGAAAGCGUGAAAACGUCAGGAAGCCAGGGACUCACCCUGCUCCCAGGCGGCCUGGUUUCAGGAGUCACCCUGGUGGCACGAGUCACCGCCACCCAGAGAGGCACAGGUUGGAAGACCUUGUGCUCGGGUGAGCACGCUGGCUGCGCGCAGGUGUGUUUGGUGCAGUGUCCAGGGCAACCGUGGCUCAGCCACCUUUAGGUUAGGGUCUCCGUGGUAACGAAAUGGAGGGCAACAAGUGCAGCACACAGGGCUGUUCAGUCUCACGCACAAGCCGGGCUGGAUCCCGCUGGGUUUGUCGUUUUGAGGCAGGGUCUCGCUGUGCAGUGCAGGCUGGCCUUGAGCUCAUUCUUGUAGCCGAGGCCGGUCUGAACUCACGACGGCCCUCCUGCCUCAGCCUCCCAAGCCUGGGAUUACAGGCAUGCGCCCCCACGCCCAGCUUCCGCGAGUGUUUGCCCGCGCCGACUCAGCCUCAUUCACCUUCGGACAUGGCUGCCCAGCCAGCCCCUCCGUGCCCAGGAGUGAGCCCCAGCUCUGUGGGGAGCUGUCCUCUGUGGAAACCAACUUAUCCUCUUCUAUUUCGAGGUUACUUGAAACCUUUUAAGGGGACAGUCUGCCAGGUGUGGUGGCGAAAGGCUGUAAUCUCAGCCCUCAGAAGGCCGAAGCAGGAGGAUUGCUG
Long non-coding RNA from Chinchilla lanigera (long-tailed chinchilla), 1057 nucleotides. The record is from Ensembl. NCBI's taxonomy places the organism in Eukaryota, Metazoa, Chordata, Mammalia, Rodentia, Chinchillidae.